GUUUGCCCUGCAGAUGCUUUUCCAUAUUGUCCAUAUCAAAAAGGUCCAUCAGGGCUGGCACUGAGCCCCUGGAUGAUCAGUGUCAAGGGCUCUCUAUGGAGCAAUGCAAGAGAAAAGGCUGGAAAAGUGAGGAAGCGACAAUAUGGAACUUUGGAGACAUAGCACACACGGUUAACAAGGAGGUAACUUGGAAGUUUUUCCAAGUGUGUACUUAAUUUCCACUAAAGACUUUAUGCUGCAUAAAAUUCUGUUAUUAUCCACCUACUAUUAUGGAAUUCUGUAGAGGUUUGGAAUUGUGGAGAGGAGAGAGAACUCCUGUGGUACAGAAUGGCUCCAACAGUCAGAGGUUGCCAGGCUGAAGUGCAACAAUCUCCACUACCAGAAAAGAGGUGCAGAAUAAAGUAAGACACUGCAGUUUCUGCUUUAUCUACAACAUGAGGAAGCCAUUCCAUUGAAGUGAGUGGGCCACUGUUGAUAGUGGUUGAUGUCACUGAUUUUGUCACGUACUAUCUGGACUCUGAAAUUAGUCAAAUACACAGAAAUAGUAUUUGUUUGUGAUGAUGUAACAAAUAUCUGAUAGUCCUGAAUUCUCCUAUAGUGACUGGCAUGGCUUCAGCUUUCAGCAGUAAGCAGGGAGUGCUGAAUCACCGACCCCUUCCCAAGCGGAGUUUGUCUAAAAAUGAGCUGUUACUGAGGCUUUUCAAACAAGUGUUCCUUUCUUUACCACUGUGUUCCUGGGAACCAACGGUGGGCUUGGGAACCAUCACAAGUGCUCUGAAGACAGCAGUGGUUGUUAAUCUGUGAGGUGUCCAGUCCAAUCCACACGAGCAGGAAGAAACUCUUAACUUGGCUUGUUUGCCUACAAAACUGCAACUGAAAUCCUGCCAUGUUUUAUCUGGUAGGUGUGAGGAAAGCACAGCUCAUGUAGAUGGUUUGCAGUGUGAUCCUCAAACACGUAACUAUGCCAGAAAGUCAACAGUUAUUAAAGAAAAUGAAGUUUGGCUUGGCAAAUUACACAAGAGUUGAUGUUAUUGUUUCAUAUCCUUUGCAUAUAUUUGCUCAAGACUAUUUUGGGAAGAUGUGCUACGGAGUGAAUUCUUGAAACCUAUCACUUCUCAAUGAAUGGUACUUUUCUUUCUACAACUUUAAGAACAAAACUAAGGUCAUCUGCAGAUGGGAACAUGUGUAAGAACAGCAAAAUUAUUUUGGAAGAUAAACAAAACCUAAGUCAGGCAAUUCAAACCAACUUGUCUAGCAGGAGAGUAUGACAUCAAGAAACCGAGACUGACCCAUGAAAGAAAACAUUCCUUACUCCUUGCUCACUAUGGAAUUCUUAAUUUCCUUCAAUAGUAGGCAAAGAAUUUAACAAGUCAGACUCUGUAUUAGGCAAGUGAUGACCAAGACAAUUAACACAAAUUAAUGAGGAAAAGUCAUUGUGCCUUCUUGAAAAUAACAAAUCAAUAUUUUAUCAACAUUUUGACCCAUUUAAGUGAAAAAAUAUUAAACUGAUCAUUUCAUGCCUUUUGUAAGCUAUUUAGGGGAAAUCUUCCUCUAUAAUUUAAGAUGCAGAUUGCAAUAAAAUACAUAAUUCAUUAGAAAUUGGUUUUGCAUAUUUCCUACAUUCUUUUUUAUUGCAACUUAUCUGUGUCUUACUGAUAUAUUUUCCCUUAGGUAGCAAGUGUCUGAGUGCAAUAACGUAGCUGAGGUCACCACUAGUUUCCUGAAAAAAAUACCACCUUCCUUAAAGUUUCCUGAAAGGUCCACCACUAAUUUCCUUUACUGAACACUUACACUGCACUUCAUGCAUUACCUGUCUAAAAAGGUCAUAAUAAAGUCUGGACUUCCACGAACUCAUUCAGUAUAAAUUGUUUUAAAGAAAUCCAGCACAGCCUUUUUAACCUAAGCACUACCUGGUGGUACAAUUAAAGUAGUGUUUAAUGCCCAUGAUUUAGAACUGAAAAGCUUUAUUUCGAAGUACCCAACACCAGCAAGCAGCCCCCCUUCCCUCUUCUCUGACAGACACAGUAACCGGGCUCGGGACCUCAGCAUCACAGAAUUGUUCGGGCUGGGUCGGAGCUCUGGAGCUCUCCCAGUGCGACCCAUCGGCCAGGGCCGGGGCGCCUGGAGCAGAUGACACAGGAACGUGUGCAGGGGGGUUCUGAAAGCCGCCAGAGAGGAAAAGUCCGCGCCCUCCCUGGGCAGCCCGUUCCAGUGCUUUGCUACGCACAACGUAAAGUUCUUUCUCGUAUGGAGGUGGAACUUGUGGUUUAGUUUACGGCGAGUGCUCCUCGUCCUGCCGUUGCAAAGACCCGGGCACCCGCCUCGGGGAUACCUAUAUGCAUUAAUUGCAGGGAAAACCACAAACACGGCGGAGGCGCACAAAGCCCCCGGAAAGAAACAUCGUCUCUUGAACCCGCAGCAGGCAUUUAGCGGGCGAGGACCCUGCCCAGCUUGUGCCCCGCGAGGAGCCGGGCACAGGAGGGGUCGGCACCGCCAUGCCGGCCACCCCUCACGGCAGUGCCCUGGUUCGCGCCUCAUGGCUGCGACCGGGCAGGGCUGCGCCGCACCCCUCAAACGGACCCCUCCAUGAGGAGAGCGCUAGCCCCCACGGGCCCGGGAGCAGACCCGGGAACGAAAAUCAGGACGAAGCACAGGCACCCCAGUCGGGCGAGCGCGC
Serinus canaria (Common canary) is the source of this 2677-nucleotide long non-coding RNA. RefSeq lists it as uncharacterized. NCBI's taxonomy places the organism in Eukaryota, Metazoa, Chordata, Aves, Passeriformes, Fringillidae. The record is from RefSeq and is a predicted model, not a curated record. The transcript is spliced from 5 exons.